AGUUAAUUAAAUUAAUUAAAAUAUUAAUUUUGAAAAUAAUAAAUAGAAAUAUUUGUAUUAACUUA
Molecule: transfer RNA, 65 nt
Filed under: Hormaphis betulae
Lineage: Eukaryota; Metazoa; Arthropoda; Insecta; Hemiptera; Hormaphididae
Description: tRNA-Ser
Source: RNAcentral